UACAGAGGGUGCGAGCGUUGUUCGGAAUUAUUGGGCGUAAAGGGCGCGUAGGCGGCGCCACAAGUCACUUGUGAAAACUCUGGGCUCAACUCAGAGCCUGCAAGCGAAACUGUGGUGCUGGAGUAUGGGAGAGGUGCGUGGAAUUCCCGGUGUAGCGGUGAAAUGCGCAGAUAUCAGGAGGAACACCAAUGGCGAAGGCAGCUCGCUGGGACGGUACUGACGCUGAGACGCGAAAGCGUGGGGAGCAAACAGG
This 253-nucleotide ribosomal RNA is filed under the name uncultured bacterium. RNAcentral describes it as "partial 16S ribosomal RNA". It matches the Rfam family "Bacterial small subunit ribosomal RNA", at positions 524 to 776 of the family's 1533-position model. The record is from RNAcentral.